AUUGAACGCUGGCGGAAUGCUUUACACAUGCAAGUCGAACGGCAGCACGGGGGCAACCCUGGUGGCGAGUGGCGAACGGGUGAGUAAUACAUCGGAACGUGCCCAGUCGUGGGGGAUAACGUAGCGAAAGUUACGCUAAUACCGCAUACGAUCUACGGAUGAAAGCGGGGGACCGUAAGGCCUCGCGCGAUUGGAGCGGCCGAUGUCAGAUUAGGUGGUUGGUGAGGUAAAGGCUCACCAAGCCGACGAUCUGUAGCUGGUCUGAGAGGACGACCAGCCACACUGGGACUGAGACGCGGCCCAGACUCCUACGGGAGGCAGCAGUGGGGAAUUUUGGACAAUGGGCGCAAGCCUGAUCCAGCCAUUCCGCGUGCAGGACGAAGGCCUUCGGGUUGUAAACUGCUUUUGUACAGAACGAAAAGGUUUCUACUAAUACUAGGAGCUCAUGACGGUACUGUAAGAAUAAGCACCGGCUAACUACGUGCCAGCCGCCGCAGUAA
This 500-nucleotide ribosomal RNA is filed under the name uncultured bacterium. RNAcentral describes it as "partial 16S ribosomal RNA". It matches the Rfam family "Bacterial small subunit ribosomal RNA", at positions 30 to 523 of the family's 1533-position model. The record is from RNAcentral.